GCGAUUUUUAAUUCAUAGGAAAUUAGAGAACAGGACAGGCACGUGUAACCUGUCCCCACAAGUAGGAUUUUGUUUUCGAUAAGAUUGUUUUAGAAAAAAAUGUGUAUUAGAUACAACAGAAAAAAGGGGGGUACCCCAACCCUGGUGUCUUAUUCACAGUCAAGGCAUAUCAGUAUGUUCAAAUAUCUCCGUUGUAGUAGAA
RNAcentral lists this long non-coding RNA (202 nucleotides) under Mytilus galloprovincialis (Mediterranean mussel). The record is from RNAcentral. Lineage: Eukaryota; Metazoa; Mollusca; Bivalvia; Mytilida; Mytilidae.